UCAGGGAGUUGUUCAAACUGGGGCAGGCUUCUCAGUUUCAUUUCUCCAUGGGCCUAGACUGCACAGUUGCUCAAAUCUGGCUGUGGGUCUGGUGACUUGCAGCACUUGUUUGCCUCAGAAAGGCACCUAAGUCCCAUGAGUGACAAACCACGCUGCAGCCAACUUUUUGUGUAAGGAGAUGUUGACAUCUGUAAGGAAAGCUCACCGAGAUCCCGAAGGACGGCUGAAGAAAAUGCCUGUGGAAAGUGAGGAGUCUUGGGGCAGGGAUGGAGGUUGCGAUGGCCUCAGGGUGUUCAGUGCCAAGAUUAACCCCAAAUGGAGAGAGAGAAAAGUUGGUAAUUUUCUGGGUGUAGCUCUUCCACAUACUUGGUUAAAUUUUUGGGUCAUGUGGAGGGCACCUGGACACUGUUAUGGACAAGUAUAAAUGAGCUGAGAGACACUUAUGUGGUCUCACUCUUAAACUCCUGGUUCCUGCCCACCACAGAACAACAGAAAAUUGUGCCAAGAAACGUUAUGAGCGGGCAGGAUGUUGUUCUACCUGUCCAUAAUAAGACUCAAAGUUCUGUACGCAUCACAUGGUACAGAGGGAAUACCAUAAAAAAUGAUCAGAUCAUUGCAUUUCUUACAAUAAACUCAUUUUACAAUAUAAGAGGUCCUGCAGAUGGACCAGUAUCAAUAAACAAAGAUGGAUCCUUGGUGCUAAGGAAGGUCACCAUGAAUGAUACAGGAAUAUAUACCAUAGUAAUCCAACAUCCAGAUACAAGAAUGCAAAUAGGAUUAAGACAGCUUAAUGUAUAUGAGCCUGUGAGAAUGCCCAUCCUCCUAGCCAGCAACACCACUUUCACAGAGAAUAAGGGUGCUGUGGUCUUGACCUGCUACACAGAUGAGCUCACCCUCCAAUGGCUGUUCAAUGGCUUACAACUGCAGCUCACAGAGAGAAUGAAGCUGUCUGAGGACCACAGAAACCUCACCAUAGAUCCCGUCAAGAGAGAAGAUGCUGGGAAUUACCAGUGUGAAGUCUUCAACCCUAUCAGUUCUUUUGCAAGUGUUCCCGUUGAGCUGGAUGUAAAAUCUGAGUGAACCCCCUGUCCCCUUCUAUGUUGUUAGAGUCUAAAUAAAGGGUUUUUUGCAUCAUCA
RNA transcript from Phyllostomus hastatus (greater spear-nosed bat), 1137 nucleotides. It is a transcript of the gene named carcinoembryonic antigen-related cell adhesion molecule 21-like, with no coding region annotated. Lineage: Eukaryota; Metazoa; Chordata; Mammalia; Chiroptera; Phyllostomidae. The record is from RefSeq and is a predicted model, not a curated record. The transcript has 5 exons.